This is a long non-coding RNA of Helianthus annuus (common sunflower), 533 nucleotides long. RefSeq lists it as uncharacterized. The record is from RefSeq and is a predicted model, not a curated record. Lineage: Eukaryota; Viridiplantae; Streptophyta; Magnoliopsida; Asterales; Asteraceae. The transcript is spliced from 5 exons.
UUUUUCUUCUUCAAUCUCUGUAUUCCAAUGGAUUCUUCAUCAUAUCCUCACAAACAUCCUAUACUCCAUUCGCCCUUCUAGGCAUAUGAUCGAUCAAGGGUUCCUUUGGUUUGAGCUCAAGUAGUGGCGGCUUCAACUAGGGUUCUAUUGCAGAACCGAUCUGAUUUGAAUACCGGCGGCUAAGAGGUGUUUGAUGAUCCUAUGAAAAAUUUAGCAAACCAGGGAAGAAAAGAAGAUUUGAAAAUUCACAAUAGAUAGCAUUAACCAUUUUCAUAAGUUGGCAUAACAGAAGAAAAGUGGAGAUAGUUAUAUCUGGAGCUUCUAACCAUAAGAUUUAUCAUUACUAUUUAGGGAGUGGGAGCUACAUGGCCUAUGAGAAGCACAUGGAAUACACGGAGAGAAUUACAUCCAACUAUCAGGAUGGCGAUACUAAAAGAUGUUUGCUCUGUUUGUGUAAGGUAACCCAAAUCUAUUGCUCAUGUUGAGUUGAGUUCGAGAUCUUUUCAAGUUGUGGUCAUGUUGAGACGAAUGAU